ACCCUGCGUCACAGACUUCAAAACACAUGUUUUAAAAUGAUAAAACAUGUGUUUUGAAGUCUGUGACGCAGGCU
Molecule: non-coding RNA, 74 nt
Organism: Paramuricea clavata
Lineage: Eukaryota; Metazoa; Cnidaria; Anthozoa; Malacalcyonacea; Plexauridae
Source: the annotation of a GenBank genome assembly